RNAcentral lists this ribosomal RNA (434 nucleotides) under uncultured Lachnospiraceae bacterium. Its description in RNAcentral is "partial 16S ribosomal RNA". It matches the Rfam family "Bacterial small subunit ribosomal RNA", at positions 341 to 792 of the family's 1533-position model. Lineage: Bacteria; Bacillati; Bacillota; Clostridia; Lachnospirales; Lachnospiraceae. The record is from RNAcentral.
ACGGAAGGCAGCAGUGGGGAAUAUUGCACAAUGGGCGAAAGCCUGAUGCAGCGACGCCGCGUGAGUGAAGAAGUAUCUCGGUAUGUAAAGCUCUAUCAGCAGGGAAGAAAAUGACGGUACCUGACUAAGAAGCCCCGGCUAACUACGUGCCAGCAGCCGCGGUAAUACGUAGGGGGCAAGCGUUAUCCGGAUUUACUGGGUGUAAAGGGAGCGUAGACGGUUUGGCAAGUCUGAAGUGAAAUGCGGGGGCUCAACUCCUGAACUGCUUUAGAAACUGUCGAACUAGAGUGCAGGAGAGGUAAGUGGAAUUCCUAGUGUAGCGGUGAAAUGCGUAGAUAUUAGGAGGAACACCAGUGGCGAAGGCGGCUUACUGGACUGUAACUGACGUUGAGGCUCGAAAGCGUGGGGAGCAAACAGGAUUAGAUACCCUGGUA